Molecule: long non-coding RNA, 505 nt
Filed under: Drosophila guanche
Lineage: Eukaryota; Metazoa; Arthropoda; Insecta; Diptera; Drosophilidae
Source: RNAcentral
UUUGGGUGUACAUUAUAGAUGCAUUCAUCAGAAAAAAGAUCCCAAAGAAAAUAAAUCCAUAAUUGCUAAAACCAUUUUAUUUCCCCCAGUCUGAAAUAUAUAUAAAGAAUGUUAAGCAAUGUAUUGCUAUUGCAAUUAGGUGUAUUGCUAACAACGUUUGUGCAGUUAGUCUUAAUCUGCGUUAUUUUUCUUGCUCUCAUCGCUUUCCUCAUCAACAUCUAUAUCAUCGUCUUGUUCCUCUGAAUCAUCUCUCUCUUGGAUUUCCUGGUCUUCCUCAUUUUGGGCAUCAUCCUCAUCCACAUCCACAUCCUCAUCCUCUAAUUGCUCUACGUUCUGGUCGUCCUUGAUGUCAUCAAUAUCAAUUGAGUGGGACGAAACUGUAGCCAGCAGCACAAUUCCAAAGAGGGCAAUCAGCAAAAAGGUACGCAUGGUCUUGUUUAGGUUAGUCUCUAACUAAUUUCAAGUUCUCGACUUAAUUUCCUUUUUAUAGCAAAUUGCAAAUUGC